CAGAUGUGAAAGACCCGGGGCGUCAACCUACCGGAAUAGCAUUUGUAAACUAGGCAGACUAGAGGUACUGUAGAGGGGGGUAGGAAUUUCAGGUGUAGCGGUGAAAUGCGUAGAGAUCUGAAGGAAUACCGGUGGCGAAGGCGGCCCCCUGGACAGAUACUGACACUCAGAUGCGAAAGCGUGGGGAGCAAACAGGAUUAGAUACCCUGGUAG
Molecule: ribosomal RNA, 213 nt
Filed under: uncultured bacterium
Lineage: Bacteria
Description: partial 16S ribosomal RNA
Rfam family: Bacterial small subunit ribosomal RNA
Source: RNAcentral